This 1233-nucleotide ribosomal RNA is filed under the name metagenome. RNAcentral's name for it is "bacterial LSU rRNA". It matches the Rfam family "Bacterial large subunit ribosomal RNA", at positions 1564 to 2808 of the family's 2925-position model. The record is from RNAcentral.
UGAAUACGAGAUGCUACGGCGUCGAAGCAGUCUAUGUCAUACUUCCAAGAAAAGCUUGCACUGUCAUAAACAAAUAAUGCCUGUACCAUAACCGACACAGGUGGGUAGGUAGAGUAUACUAAGGGGCGCGAGAUAACUCUCUCUAAGGAACUCGGCAAAUGACUCCGUAACUUCGGGAGAAGGAGUGCCUUAUUUAUAAGGUUGCAAUAACAAGAUCCAAGCAACUGUUUAUCAAAAACACAGGUCUCCGCUAAGUCGUAAGACGAUGUAUGGGGGCUGACGCCUGCCCAGUGCCAGAAGGUUAAAGAAGUUGGUUAGCAUUAGCGAAGCUGAUAACUGAAGCCCUGGUGAACGGCGGCCGUAACGAUAACGGUCCUAAGGUAGCGAAAUUCCUUGUCGGGUAAGUUCCGACCCGCACGAAAGGCGUAAUGAUUUGGAUACUGUCUCAGAGAGGGGCUCGGUGAAAUAGACUUGUCUGUGAAGAUGCGGACUACCUGCACCAGGACAGAAAGACCCUAUGAAGCUUUACUGUAACUUGAAAUUGAAAUUGGACUUUAUUUGCGCAGUAUAGGUGGGAGGCAUUGAGAACAUUCUUGCGGGAUUGUUGGAGCCAUCAGUGAGAUACCACUCUUGUAAUGUUAGAUUUCUAACUUUGUAUCAUUAUCUGGUCAAAGGACAGUUUCAGGCGGGCAGUUUGACUGGGGCGGUCGCCUCCUAAACGGUAACGGAGGCGCACAAAGGUUUCCUCUGAACGGGUAAAAAUCGUAUCUAGAGUGUAAAGGCAUAAGGAAGCUUGACUGUGAGACCUACAAGUCGAGCAGGGACGAAAGUCGGUCUUAGUGAUCUGACGGUGCUGAGUGGAAAGGCCGUCACUCAACGGAUAAAAGUUACUCUAGGAUAACAGGCUGAUCUCCCCCAAGAGUUCACAUCGACGGGGAGGUUUGGCACCUCGAUGUCGGCUCAUCGCAUCCUGGGGCGGUAGUACGUCCCAAGGGUUGGGCUGUUCGCCCAUGAAAGCGGUACGCGAGCUGGGUUCAGAACGUCGUGAGACAGUUCGGUCCAUAUCCGGUGUAGGCGUUAGAAUAUUGAGAGGAGCCUUCUUUAGUACGAGAGGACCGAGAAGGACAUACCUCUGGUGUACCAGUUAUCGUGCCAACGGUAAACGCUGGGUAGCUAUGUAUGGAGAGGAUAACCGCUGAAAGCAUCUAAGUGGGAAGCCCACCUCAAGAUAAG